CCACUUCCCGCUUCAACACAGGAUCACUUAUAGCCAACCAGCUCCUGACAGUAACUUGUUCUAACUUUCAUUCUUAAAAACCUCUAGUGAUACAGAACCACCAUCUCCUUACACAUACUGCUGUCUUUACAGCUCAGAACUCCGAACAUCUAUCCUAGAUUUUCCUUAUGGAAAUUUAAGUUGCUCUCCAUAACCACCUGACAGGACUAGCAGUAACUGUUGUAUUUCCUUGGCAGAACUUUCUUCUAAAUCCAAAUAUUAUUCUUUCUUUCCUCUAAUCUCUAUUCUUUCCAGCUAACCUGUAUCACUUUGCAGCAUAGCACUUAGAACUGGAUAAGGUACUCCAGCUGGCCUUCACUAGCGCUAUACUGAAUGGGAUGACUUUAUAUACCAUGUCUCCAAUGCUUUAAUAUAUCCCCCUACUGUGACUGCUGUUCUAUUUAUUUCCGUUCUCUGGCCUUGUACUGUACAUCCUUGGAAGGCAUACAAUGCCUUCCUGCUACACCUUUUCUGAAGAAGUACUCCUUACCCAGUGCUUUUGCCCAUGGAUUGUGAAAGCUCACUAUGCCUAGGCGAAGGGCUGUUCCUUGCAGUUCUUAUUACUAAAUCACAUGCGGUAGCACGUAAUUUAAGGUCACUUUGAAUUCGAAGUGAUAUGGGCAAAUACGCUAGUUCUGUCCUCCAGUGUGCCUAUAAUCUUUUUGUUAACUUGCAAUGUAAUAUUUAUAUGCUCUAGUCCUGUACCCAGGUCAAUAAUGAACGCAUAGAUUAUCCCAGGUUGGAAGGGACCCAUAAGGAUCAUUGAGUCCAACUCCCGGCUCCACACAGGUCUCACAAAUUUCAUUUGGCCAAACACGAAGUUGAGCUCACAAUUCAUUAAAGCACUGUAUAUUAUAUAUUCAACUUUAACCAUUGUCUAGACAAUGAAGAUCAUAGAAUCAUUAAGGUCGGAAAAAACCAUUAAGAUCACCUAGUCCAAACUUCAAUCCAUUGCCACCAUGCCCGCUCUACCAUGUCCCUCAGUGGCACAUUACACAUUUUUUGGACAUUUCCAUCAAUAACUAAUUAAUAAUAAUAAUAAUAGUAAUCACAAAUUACUGCAGGAUGGUUUUCUACAGACCCUCUAAAAACUGUCCCAACCUGAAAGUGAGUUACUGCUAACUACAGAUCUCAGUGGCAUUUCAUCAAGGCAAUCUCUCCCCAUUUGUUUCUGAAAGUGAUGCUUACAUCAGUCAAGUAAAUCUGUAUCUGAGUUCCUAAAAGAUCCAGUUUUACAGUAAGCGCUAUAAAAUUAACAAGUGUUCCAACCACUGCUCUGAACUUUAUAAUAGUACAGGGCAAUCUCUGCAGGAGUACACCAUACAAAAUUAAUCCAAAUUAACACAAGCAGGUUAGGACAUGUUUAUCACUUGUGGUUACUGGCUCAAAGCUGCACCAAUUGAAAGCCACAGCAUAGUCCUUGGCUAGUUUAAUGGAAUGGAUGCUCCUGUCCUAAGUGCCAGCUGAAUAACCUUGCUCUUGCCUACCUAGCCCUUAACUCAGAAGCAAGCUCAAGGUGUUUUUCAAGAUGCCUGUGCUAUUUGUUUCAGAAUGUUCCACAUACAUGCAAAUCCUAGUUACAUGAGGUGCAGGAAACCUCCCCACAUCAAUUUUACAUGAAACAGUCGACCCAUUUUAAAUAACAGGUUUAAUAUAAUUUAGCUGAUUAUCUUCUAUUUUCACUUUGUUAAUUUGAGUUAAAAUUAGGUAUCCCAAGGCUACAAAAGUAAAGAUCAAAUCAAAGAAGUGUAACUGACACACACAGACAAACUGAUCUGAUAGGGAAGUGAUCAGUGUGCUCGGACUGGCAUAUACUCUGCUCAUUACAAACUAAAUGACAGGUUGGCAGCGGUGAGCAACGCACAGUGUGAAAACAUAUAUAUGUUUAUGGUGUAUUUUAAUUAGUUUUAUGACAGAGUCUGAAAGGGGCUUUUUUCAGCUAUACAAAUGGAUAUUUGAAAACCACAUUUGUCUUUCAGUCUAAGGACACAUUGUGGUUUUUACAAUUUUUACGCUGCAGUGGAAAUGCUAAGUCAUGGCUUGAAGCAGUGAUUGAGCACCUGCUGGGAGGGCAGGGCCAACCCAGGGGAGCUCAGGUGCACUGAGUGACCGAAAGGGGUGAAGCCAGGAUCCACCCCUUCCCAGACCUCAUUUAAGGGUUGGCAGUGGAGGUAAGGAUAUCUUGCUGGAGGUCCCUAUGCACUUGAGGCCUUCUGAAGAGCUUGCACCUGUGAAGAGGGAGAGCCAUCAACCUCACAGGCAGACACAUCAGACAGCCAGAGGCAAUCCACAGCAUUGCUCUCAAGAAAUGUUUCUCAGGCUGGGAACCUCCUUGAAAACAUUCUUUACCAAGGGACUGCAGCUCUGACUGACAGGCACAUGAAUGUGGAGGCAACACUUCUUAUCUAACUGUUAAGCAACACACUAAGAGAAAGCGUAUAAAAAUCGCAUUCAGUUCUUUACUUUUGCUUCAGAACCAAGCAGUGACUCUAAACUGUCACUCAAAAGACAGUUCAACCUACAUGCAAACAUCACGUCGCAAGCUUCAGUGUAUUUUGAAGU
Non-coding RNA from Meleagris gallopavo (turkey), 2601 nucleotides. Lineage: Eukaryota; Metazoa; Chordata; Aves; Galliformes; Phasianidae. The record is from RefSeq and is a predicted model, not a curated record.